Molecule: long non-coding RNA, 2033 nt
Organism: Leptopilina heterotoma
Lineage: Eukaryota; Metazoa; Arthropoda; Insecta; Hymenoptera; Figitidae
Exons: 3
Source: RefSeq, a predicted model, not a curated record
UCUGAGUACCAAACUUUAAAGUACUAUUACUUAUAAAAAAAGAACUAUCUUUAAUUAUUCAAUAAAUAUUAUGAAAGAUUAACUCAAAAGCUUCAAUUUUUAUCGAUGAAAUUUUUUAAUACAUCAAUAUAGUUAUUGAUAAUUAUUAAAAUAUAAGUGUCUUUAAAAAUCUCCAUGCUAGCACGACAAAGGAUAAACGUGUAUAAAUAAACUAUAAGACGUGCACUUUUUAUAUAAAAAUCAAUUGGAAAUUAAAGAAAAAACAUGUCACUUUUCAAAUCUCCAAGAGAAAUUGGAAAAUAAAUUAUAUUUUUCAUAUUAAAAAAAAAACACUAGAAAAACACUGCGUAUUUUUAUUCAUUCCUUUGUCGUGCGCUGUCAUAACUUUAAUAUUUCAAUAUAGAUAUCAAUAAAAAACGGAUGAAAACUUACAGUUUGGUAGGACAAAAGUGUAUACCUAGCCAUUUUUUUAUUUACUUUUGUUUAAAAUAUGUAUUAAUGGAUUUCGUACAAAUUUCCAUUGUCGUGGAGCCCUUUGUCGUGUCAAAACAUUUGCACGUGGUAGGUGCGAAACAAGUAAAAAGUGUGUCCGUGCCUAAAACUUUUUUUAAAAUAGUGCCCCUGGAUGAUACGCCUCUGAUAAGAAUGCCUGAAAAUUAGGAGUACUUGCAUUUUCCUGGAUCACCCAUCUAAUGGGUUUUCUCGACAAAGAAGAGGGAAACUGUAGAAAACCUCUCCUAAGUACAACCGAUUUAUCGACAGUCGAGUUCUAAUGGUGUGUACCGUAAUAUAUUCGACAAUGCACAUAAUGUGUGUAAACACCGGACUAUAGGGAGAAUCGAAGCGCGAUCACCAAGUACUAACGCAGAGUUAGUAGGUCUGCUUAACCUCGACGAUCGCAAGCCACAAAGUCUCACCACCACGAUAUACCAUCAAUUUUAUUGGAAAAUCAAACAUUCUUUUUGUUCAUUAAUUUAUUUAAACAUUAAUUUUUCAAUGUUUAUUUUCUUGAAAACAAAAAAAAAAUUUCUCACAAAAAAUAUUUAUACAAAAGUUUGUAAAUGCCCUUAAAAUUCCUGGACAUUACAAAGAGGUGUUUUUUCAUAUUCGUAAUAAAUUAGUUUUUGAAUUUUGCGUUGCAUGGCCCGAUCCAUGCAGAGUAUGUGUAUGUGUCUACCAGUUGCUAAGUGUUACUGUAAAAGAUGCUUGAAACAUGUAAGAUGUCAAAUAUACUUGGAUAUUUUAGUAUUUGAAUUCUUGUUUUGUAUUAGUUAAAAUUUUUAAUCAAUUUUGAAAUCUAACCAAUUUCCUCUUCAGGGAGUCAAAAAAAUUAAUAAAUAAACAUUCGUCAGCAAGUAAAGGUUAAGAACAAAUUUACCCAUCAAACCUCUGAAAAAACAUAAAGUAUGGAGUCAUAGUUAGACGUUUAAUGGAUAAAUUGGUUUUAAACCUUCACUUGCUGACGAAUGUUUAUUUAUUAAACUUAGAAAUUUGUACUACAAGGUAGCAAAUAUGGAACAACAAUUUUAAAAGGACUACUCCAACUGUAGGGUAGAUCGUACAAACCUUGCUCUAACCUGACGCUGACAAGGGAAACAAUUCUCUUCGUAUACCUUGGAAAACUACAUCCCCGUGGGCACACUUGUUCAGAAGACGUCCUAAGGAUGUUUUUUGAAGACGUCUUUUGGACUUUGACAAAAUACAUCUUUAAAACGUUCUAAAAAUGUUCUGUCUCGGCCAUCAGAUUUUAACUUUUUGCGAAAAUAGAAAAAUUGGCAUAAAUAUAAAAUAUUACUUUCUAAGUUUGACUUUGACUUACAAACUGAUAAAUAUAAAAAUCAUUGGAAUUUUUCUUUAAUUUAAAUUUAUUUCAUUUAAAAAUGAGAUAAUUUCCUAUUUAAAAAAGAACAUGAAUUUUUAAGAAACUUAAGGAAGCACUUUUUUCAAUUUCGAAUUCUUAUUAUUUCUAUUUAAAAAAGAACAUGAAUGUCACAUCCCAGUAAGAAGUAAGAAAUUAAUAAGAAUUCGAAAUU